This 492-nucleotide ribosomal RNA is filed under the name uncultured bacterium. Its description in RNAcentral is "partial 16S ribosomal RNA". It matches the Rfam family "Bacterial small subunit ribosomal RNA", at positions 29 to 507 of the family's 1533-position model. The record is from RNAcentral.
AGUGAACGCUGGCGGUAGGCCUAACACAUGCAAGUCGAACGGCAGCACAGUAAGAGCUUGCUCUUACGGGUGGCGAGUGGCGGACGGGUGAGGAAUACAUCGGCAUCUACUUUUUCGUGGGGGAUAACGUAGGGAAACUUACGCUAAUACCGCAUACGACCUACGGGUGAAAGCAGGGGAUCUUCGGACCUUGCGCGAUUGAUUGAGCCGAUGUCGGAUUAGCUAGUUGGCGGGGUAAAGGCCCACCAAGGCGACGAUCCGUAGCUGGUCUGAGAGGAUGAUCAGCCACACUGGAACUGAGACACGGUCCAGACUCCUACGGGAGGCAGCAGUGGGGAAUAUUGGACAAUGGGCGCAAGCCUGAUCCAGCCAUACCGCGUGGGUGAAGAAGGCCUUCGGGUUGUAAAGCCCUUUUGUUGGGAAAGAAAAGCAGCAGGUUAAUACCCCGCUGUUCUGACGGUACCCAAAGAAUAAGCACCGGCUAACUUCGUG